This 450-nucleotide ribosomal RNA is filed under the name uncultured bacterium. RNAcentral describes it as "partial 16S ribosomal RNA". It matches the Rfam family "Bacterial small subunit ribosomal RNA", at positions 354 to 796 of the family's 1533-position model. The record is from RNAcentral.
GUGGGGAAUAUUGCACAAUGGGGGAAACCCUGAUGCAGCCAUGCCGCGUGUGUGAAGAAGGCCUUCGGGUUGUAAAGCACUUUCAGUCAGGAGGAAGGGGAGCAGACUAAUAUUCUGUUUCAUUGACGUUACUGACAGAAGAAGCACCGGCUAACUCCGUGCCAGCAGCCGCGGUAAUACGGAGGGUGCAAGCGUUAAUCGGAAUUACUGGGCGUAAAGCGCACGCAGGCGGUUGGAUAAGUUAGAUGUGAAAGCCCCGGGCUCAACCUGGGAACUGCAUUCGAAACUGGCAGGCUAGAGUCUUGUAGAGGGGGGUAGAAUUCCAGGUGUAGCGGUGAAAUGCGUAGAGAUCUGGAGGAAUACCGGUGGCGAAGGCGGCCCCCUGGACAAAGACUGACGCUCAGGUGCGAAAGCGUGGGGAGCAAACAGGAUUAGAUACCCGGGUAGUCC